UCUGAACCCGCGGAUGCGACCCUCAGCCGCGCUCCCUGGCGCACCUUCCCCGGUGCCAGGUGGCGGCGGAUGGGGAUCGGAUCCGGGGGCGCGGACCAU
Non-coding RNA from Micrococcales bacterium 72-143, 99 nucleotides. The record is from Rfam. NCBI's taxonomy places the organism in Bacteria, Bacillati, Actinomycetota, Actinomycetes, Micrococcales.